CAUGGGUUUGUGGUUUAUUCCAUCUCUUGCACACUGGACCAGUGCUUCAGCAACUGGUUGGUGUGCAGGGGGUGGAAUAUGGCACCCAUCCAUG
Non-coding RNA from Amborella trichopoda, 94 nucleotides. The record is from Rfam. NCBI's taxonomy places the organism in Eukaryota, Viridiplantae, Streptophyta, Magnoliopsida, Amborellales, Amborellaceae.